UAAAAAUUUAAUUAAUAAUAUUAAAGUAGUAUUAGUUAAGUUCUUGAAAUUUAAAAAAUUUGGCGGUAUUUUAGUCUAUUCAGAGGAACCUGUUUUUUAAUUGAUAAUCCACGAUGAAUCUUACUUAAAUUUAUUUAAUUUAUAUAUCGUCGUUUAUGAAUAUUUUAGAAGAAUAAUAAUUUUCUUAAUUUUUAAUUUAAAAAUAUAUCAGAUCAAGAUGUAGUUUAUGUUUAAGUUUAUAAUGGGUUACAUUUAAAAUAUUAAUGGAUUUAAAUUUGUAAUUUAUUUAUUGAAAUUGGAUUUGGUAGUAAAUUUAUAUAGAUAGAUAAAUUGACUAUAGCUCUAUAAUAUG
RNAcentral lists this ribosomal RNA (352 nucleotides) under Eudorylas sp. Jeff Skevington 22157. RNAcentral's name for it is "partial 12S ribosomal RNA". Lineage: Eukaryota; Metazoa; Arthropoda; Insecta; Diptera; Pipunculidae. The record is from RNAcentral.